Non-coding RNA from Siniperca chuatsi (mandarin fish), 723 nucleotides. Lineage: Eukaryota; Metazoa; Chordata; Actinopteri; Centrarchiformes; Sinipercidae. The record is from the annotation of a RefSeq genome assembly.
UUAACAUGAUGGACUAUAGGACAGGACUGCUGCUGUUAACUCUCUGCUGGGCAGGUGUUGAUGGUCAGACUCUGACAGAAUCUGAACCAGUGGUUAAAAGGCCUGGAGAAUCUCACAGAUUGACCUGUACAGCCUCUGGAUUCACAUUCAGUGACUACUGGAUGGCCUGGAUCAGACAGGCUCCUGGAAAAGGACUGGAGUGGAUUGCUUACAUCAGUAGUGGUAGUGGUAGAAGCAAUUACUACUCUCAGUCAGUCCAAGGCCGGUUUACCAUCUCCAGAGACAACAGCAGACAGCAGCUGUAUCUGCAGAUGAACAGUCUGAAGACUGAAGAUUCUGCUGUUUAUUAUUGUGCUCGAGAGCCACAGUGACUGGAGUUGGUUGAACAGCUGUACAAAAUCCUACAGGACUCAUCGUUACUGGGCUGGUAGAUCCUGAGAAAGAACUAUAUUUUUCUUUUAAUUUUCAUUGUUUUAAAUAAAUUCAUAAAAACUGGCCCUGAUAAAGAUUAUCAUUAACCAACAACAAUAACCGUUAAAUACAUAAAAAAAUAUGUCUUACUGUAAUGAUCAAUUCCUCACAAAACAGCCAAUGACAGCAAAACAAUAUGCUGAAAUCAUUGUCCAGGUAUGAAGAAAAGAAAUACUACAUGCACACAUUUCAGCAACAUUCAUGUAAAUAUCAUUUGGCAUCUAAAGUAGGUCACAAUAUGGGAGUGAAAAC